Molecule: ribosomal RNA, 483 nt
Filed under: uncultured bacterium
Lineage: Bacteria
Description: partial 16S ribosomal RNA
Rfam family: Bacterial small subunit ribosomal RNA
Source: RNAcentral
GAUGAACGCUGGCGGCGUGCUUAACACAUGCAAGUCGAACGAUGAAGCCGGAGCUUGCUCCGGUGGAUUAGUGGCGAACGGGUGAGUAACACGUGAGCAAUCUGCCCUUGACUCUGGGAUAACUGCGGGAAACUGUAGCUAAUACCGGAUACGACACCUUGGGGCAUCCCAGGGUGUGGAAAGAAUUUCGGUCAAGGAUGAGCUCGCGGCCUAUCAGCUAGUUGGUGAGGUAAUGGCUCACCAAGGCGACGACGGGUAGCCGGCCUGAGAGGGGGACCGGCCAGACUGGAACUGAGACACGGCCCAGACUCCUACGGGAGGCAGCAGUGGGGAAUAUUGCACAAUGGGCGAAAGCCUGAUGCAGCAACGCCGCGUGAGGGAUGAAGGCCUUCGGGUUGUAAACCUCUUUUAGUAGGGAAGAAGCGAAAGUGACGGUACCUACAGAAAAAGCACCGGCUAACUACGUGCCAGCAGCCGCCGUAA